Molecule: long non-coding RNA, 465 nt
Organism: Herpailurus yagouaroundi (jaguarundi)
Lineage: Eukaryota; Metazoa; Chordata; Mammalia; Carnivora; Felidae
Exons: 3
Source: RefSeq, a predicted model, not a curated record
CUCCUCCUUAGGGAGUUACCUUCUUACCACUUACUUCUCCAGAACUACUCCCUUUGUAGCCAGAGCCAACAGAGAUGCUCCUUCCCACACUUCUUGGAAUGCCUCCAUCAGUCCCAGUUUCUACUUUAAGGAACAUACUUUGUCCAAGUAACUGGAAGGAAGGCAGAGCCUGAGCAUGAACUUCACUUUCCAGAAGGGACCCUGCCUUCUCUGGGAUAUUCUUCAUGCUGGCAGGCUGUCGGGAAGAUACGUGGGGACCCUGGGAUUUUCCUUUCGCUUUCUUGUGCUCUCAGAAACCACCCCCUGGUGACUCAGAAACAUGAAGGCUAUUACGCAAAAGAAAUUGAAGACGAUAAAUAAGGGUGGCUCAGAAGUUGUGCUUCGAUCCUUUUAAUUAGAGUUCCAUACCUGAUUUGCCACUGAUGAGCUACCGGACAUUAAAUAAGUCAUUUUAUCUGAUACUUA